UAAUAAUUAUAAAUUUUUUUUCAGCACCACGAUACCAAAUAAAGCUAUAAUUAUGUUGCAGUUCACAUAUCUCACCCAAAAACAAAGCAAUUAUAAACAUACUCCUAAUCGAUGUAUUGCACAUAAUAACUGUUUGAAAAAUCUAGCCUGGAAUUGCUCACUUGUCAGAUAGGAGGAGCAAGCAAAGUGCAGGCGAAAUUUCCCCAAAUUACGCGGCAGAAAAUUGUGCGUGCUUGGUUCAAAUGAACCCCACGUUACUAUCUGCAUCAUGUGGUUAAAGAAACAAAGACAAUAUGCCAAAGGAAAGGCCUCUCAUGACACACUGCAUGUGCCUCUUGGCAGAAAUCAAUAUGGCUGUGGCAGACUCUGCAGAUUAAAAGUGUGGACCGACGACCAGAAGCAUCACCACUUUCGGGAUUUUAAUAUUGUUAACAUACUAACAUUCAAGAAUCAAGCAACCUCGCAUGCUCAUUGUCCCUAAAGUUUAAAUGAAGGUUUAAGUACAAAUGUAGGGAUGGCAAUGGGGAGGGGACGAAUCUCUCUGUACCCAUCCCCGAUAUUUUGCGUAUGUCUCCGUCCCCUCCCCGUCCCCGUCAGAACUACUUGAGAGAAUCAUCAUCUCCUCCCCGAAUAAUAACAGGGGAUCCCCGAAGGUCCCCGAUCCCCGAAUAACUAAUAUAUUUUUUUUUGUUUUCGAUUUUGAGUUAAUCAUAUUAAAAUAAAAAAUUCAAAUAAAAGUAAAGUUCGAAAUAUAUCUUACAUUAAUAUCCAUUACAAAAGUCACAUACAUUAAAUUAGUAAGUAACGCAGCAUGCAAGGGAUACAAACUUCUUUUACCAACUAUCAUGAACAAAUUAAUAGUCUAAUACAAAAUUGUUACAAAUAAAAUCGAAUUUAGAUUCAAAAUUAACUUUUUCAAUGGUGACGUGGACACUUUAUAAAUGUGGACUAUUCCCUUUACAACACAAUAGUUAAAUCGGAGCAAAUCAAGAGCAAAUAUUAGAUUAGAUUAAAUUAGAUAUUAAA
This 1026-nucleotide long non-coding RNA is filed under the name Citrus x clementina. Its description in RNAcentral is "Citrus clementina (C. clementina) long non-coding RNA (CCLE_LNC001098)". Lineage: Eukaryota; Viridiplantae; Streptophyta; Magnoliopsida; Sapindales; Rutaceae. The record is from RNAcentral.